RNAcentral lists this long non-coding RNA (212 nucleotides) under Cicer arietinum (chickpea). RNAcentral describes it as "long non-coding RNA (CARI_LNC003003)". The record is from RNAcentral. Lineage: Eukaryota; Viridiplantae; Streptophyta; Magnoliopsida; Fabales; Fabaceae.
UUUAUUUUUCUUUCUCUAUUCUACUUUCGUACACAAUUUUGCAAAACCCUAAAAUUCCAAACACCAAAAGUGCGACUGCAUUGUUCUUAACCCUAAAAUUCUAAAAAUAAAAACGACAGCUUCAUCAUCUUUCUCUUCUCAUUUUUGCCCUUAUAUUCCUCUCAUUUCAUUUGCCCAACUCUUCAAUGUCAGGUUCUGAUGACGAUUCAUCC